Molecule: ribosomal RNA, 600 nt
Filed under: uncultured archaeon
Lineage: Archaea
Description: bacterial SSU rRNA
Rfam family: Archaeal small subunit ribosomal RNA
Source: RNAcentral
GACAAGCACCGGCGGACGGCUCAGUAACACGUGGACAACCUGCCCUCGGGAGGGGGAUAACCCCGGGAAACUGGGGCUAAACCCCCAUAGGAGAUGGAUACUGGAAUGUUCCAUCUCCGAAAGUCCGCAAGGAGCCCGAGGAUGGGUCUGCGGCGGAUUAGGUAGUUGGUGGGGUAACGGCCUACCAAGCCUAAGAUCCGUACGGGCCAUGGGAGUGGGAGCCCGGAGAUGGACCCUGAGACUAGGGUCCAGGCCCUACGGGGCGCAGCAGGCGCGAAACCUCCGCAAUGCGGGAAACCGCGACGGGGUCAGCCGGAGUGCCGAUGCUUGCAUCGGCUGUCGGGGAGCCUAAAAAGCUCCCCAUAGCAAGGGCCGGGCAAGGCCGGUGGCAGCCGCCGCGGUAAUACCGGCGGCCCGAGUGGCGGUCACUAUUAUUGGGCUUAAAGCGUCCGUAGCCGGGUUGGGAAGUCCUCCGGGAAAUCUGGCCGCUUAACGGUCAGAAUGCCGGAGGAUACUCCCAGCCUAGGGAGCGGGAGAGGCCGAGGGUAUUCCCGGAGUAGGGGUGAAAUCCUAUAAUCCCGGGAGGACCACCUGUGGCGA